Molecule: unclassified non-coding RNA, 336 nt
Filed under: soil metagenome
Description: partial contains 5.8S ribosomal RNA, internal transcribed spacer 2, and large subunit ribosomal RNA
Rfam family: 5.8S ribosomal RNA (bases 1-120)
Source: RNAcentral
GAUGAAUAACGUAGUGAAAUGCGAUAAGUAAUGUGAAUUGCAGAAUUCAGUGAAUCAUCGAAUCUUUGAACGCACAUUGCGCCCGCCAGUAUUCUGGCGGGCAUGCCUGUUCGAGCGUCAUUUCAACCAUCAAGCCCCCGGCUUGUGUUGGGGACCUGCGGCUGCCGCAGGCCCUGAAAAGCAGUGGCGGGCUCGCUGUCACACCGAGCGUAGUAGAUUUCAUCUCGCUCAGGGCGUGCUGCGGGUUCCGGCCGUUAAACCACCUUCAUAACCCAAGGUUGACCUCGGAUCAGGUAGGAAGACCCGCUGAACUUAAGCAUAUCAAUAAGCGGAGGA